This 282-nucleotide long non-coding RNA is filed under the name Homo sapiens (human). Its description in RNAcentral is "non-protein coding lnc-PRELID3A-1:2". Lineage: Eukaryota; Metazoa; Chordata; Mammalia; Primates; Hominidae. The record is from RNAcentral.
CCCAGCCGUAUGAUUACCCUUAAGAGUUAACUACCACACUCAAAAGAGCGCAACUAGGGUUGCCACACACGCCAAGUGGAGGAGAAGAGCCUGCUGUGUGCGCGCACCUGACAGUCACCGGCUUCUCUUUACGUUUCCAAUAGGAAGCGCACACUACGCUGUGGGAACAAAAACACCAGGUGUCUGCUAUGGCCAAGGCAGAUAAGGUCUUUCUCUCCAACAGGAUCCAGAGAUGAGCCACUGGUACUAACACCCAACGGCUGAUGUAAGGGGCUGUGUCCC